Molecule: ribosomal RNA, 3567 nt
Filed under: Triticum aestivum (bread wheat)
Lineage: Eukaryota; Viridiplantae; Streptophyta; Magnoliopsida; Poales; Poaceae
Description: partial small subunit ribosomal RNA
Source: RNAcentral
AUGCCUGUUUCAGUUUGUAAUUCAUCCAGCAGAAAAAGAAUGAGAAUUGGUCGUGAGUCAACACAAGUCACCACAGAUAACACAAACCUCUGGAACAAGGACGGAUUUUCGAGCAGGUUACGAGAAUUAAUUAAUCAGUUGCAAGGCAUCCAAGGGGAUGUGAGAGGAGUUAUAAAUAUACCUGUGCUAGAUUCUGUUGCAGCUUCAAAUCACCGUUGGAGUACAACCUAUUUUGCAUGCCGAAGAACAUCGAGUCUUCAUCAAAGGAAAAUGUACGGGAGAUCUGCAGAGAAGAAAUUUAUUAUCAAGUUGAUAAGCGAACACAAAUCAACUGGUGGUGUCACUGUUCUGCCUAUUCUAGGCAUCGGAGGAAUUGGGAAGACAGCUCUCGCUCAACUUGUAUACAAUGAGCCAGCAGUGGAAAAUCAAUUUGACCACAAGAUAUGGAUUUGGGUGUCUAACAACUUUGAUGAAGUGAGGCUCACAAGGGAGAUGUUAGAUUUUGUGUCACAGGAAACACAUGGGGGGCUUUGCAACCUUGCCAAGCUUCAGGAGAUCUUGAAGUGUAAUAUCAAGUCAAAGAGGAUUCUACUUAUUUUAGAUGAUGUUUGGGAUGACAAAAAUGACUGCCAAUGGGACCAGCUGUUGGCUCCUUUUAAGUCUGACAAUGCAAACAACAAUUUGAUACUAAUGACAACUAGAAAACCAUCUGUUGCGAAAAGGAGAGGAACGGCUGAACCAAUUAAGUUAGGUGCGUUGGAAAAAGAUGAUUUCUGGUUAUUGUUUAAAGCACAUGCAUUUGGUGAUGAGAACUACGAAGAGCAAGAAAGUCUAAGUGGCAUAGGACAAAAAAUAGCACAAAAGUUAAAAGGAAACCCAUUAGCGGCACAAACUGCAGGAGCACUAUUAAGAGAGCAUCUCACCGUUGAACAUUGGACUAAUGGUCUGAAGAAUGAAGAUUGGAAAUCCCUGCACCUCAGUAGUGGCAUUAUGUCAUCUUUGAAGCUUUGCUAUGACGAGCUGCCCUUCCCUUUACAGCAGUGCUUCUCAUAUUGUUCUAUAUUCCCAUAUGGUUAUCAGUUUCCCGCCGAGGAGUUAGUCUGUAUGUGGAUUUCACACGGAUUUGUGAAGCUAGACGAUUCAAGUGCGAGUUUAAAGGAUACGGGAUGGUACUAUCUAACUGACUUGGUGAACCUGGGUUUCUUUGAGCAAGUCAUCUCUUCGGUCAGACAAACUUCCUAUUCCAUUGGUGGUCUCAUGCAUGAGUUUGCAAGGGUUGUUUCAAGAAGGGAGUGUGCAACAAUAGAUGGUAUAUAUUGCAAUGAAAUAUUGCCAACCGUACACCAUCUGUCAAUACUAACUGAUUCAGUAUAUUCCAUGGAUGAUCAGAUGAGCAACAUACCUUGUACCAAGAUGUUUGAAGAAAAAUUGAGAAGUUCGUUUACAUCAGUGACAAAAUUGAGGUCAUUGGUGUUAAUUGGGCAAUAUGACUCUUUCUUCUUCAAAGCCUUCCAAGAAGUAUUCCAAAAGGAACAUCAUUUGCGAGUGCUGCAUUUGUCUGCAACAUCUGCUGAUUUUCAUUCCUUCUUGUGUAGUAGGGUAAAUCAUGGACAUCUCCAGUAUUUGAAACUUCAGGACAGUCAUGUUGAGUUGGAAUCCUCGCCUCAGGUUUCGAGCAAGUUUUUCAAUCGAGUGUUAGAUGGUCGGCUUACCUCUUUACAAACAAUUCAUCUAGAGAACUGUGGAGAAUGCUGGAUAGUUCCAUCAUUGAAAAGGCCUCCGUCUCUUACAAGAUUAUUUUUGAGAAAUAUGCAGAAAGUAAGAGAAGUAUCGUUUCCGUCAUUGGAGGAGCUAGUUUUAGUUGAAAUGUCAGAGUUGGAGAGUUGUGUCUGCACUUCUCUGGGAGAUAUGAACUCUAGUUUAAGGGUAUUGGAUAUCCGAAAUUGCCACGCACUCAAGAUGUUUGAUUUGCUUGAGAAACACCAUAGCUUCAUAAUGAAGAAGGGUUCAUGGUUGCCCAAUCUUAGGAAAUUCAUUGUUUGCGAUUGUCCUCACUUGGAAGUAGUGAUCCCUCUUCGGCCUUCAGCCACAUUUUCUGAACUUUUAAUCAGCAGAGUUUCAACAUCUCUGACGAUGGACAAAUUUUACAUGGAAACAUUCGAAAUUAGGCCAAACAGUCUUUUGGGUGAGUCAUUUGGUGAGAUGAGACUGGAUGAAAAAAUCUUGGCAUUCCAUAAUCUGAGGGACCUCAAAUGCUUGGAAAUAAAUUCAUGCUGGAAUCUGACGUCUAUUUCACUAAUAAGUUUUCAUCAGCUCGUAUCUUUAGAGAGUUUGACAAUAGGGCACUGCACAAAACUCUUCUCUUCAGAUGUUGUGUCAGCGCACACCCAUGAAGACAUGAUAGCUGCAGAUUAUAUAGCCCUACCAUGUCUUGAUAGUCUCAGUAUUUUUUCAUGUGGAAUAACAGGGAAGUGGCUAUCUCUGAUGCUUCGACAUGCGCCGGCAGUGAAGAAAUUGAUGUUAAAUGGAUGUCCAAAGUUGACACAGUUACGGAUUGAAGAGGAAGAAAACGGCCAGUCGAAUCUCAACCCAGCCUCGGAGGCUUCAUCAUCAGGAUAUCAAAAUGGUUUGUCAGCAAGCUCAGAUCCAGACGGUUUGUGGUGCAUCCCGUCGAAUCUCACCACUUCUCUCAAAACUAUAAAUAUUGAAAGAUGCCCUCAUCUAAUAUUUGACGUCGCCAGAUUUACCUCCCUCGAGGAACUACAAAUACUCGGGGGAUGCCCCAAGAUGCUCUCGUCUUUGGUGCACGGAAGACUGCUCCUACCGCAAUCACUUGAACAAAUUUUAAUAUAUGAAGAAUGCAAAUCACUCACUGCAUUACAUGGCAUGGAAUCGCUCAGGACUCUCAGGGCUUUGGCACUAUAUUCGAACUCAAGUUUGGAGCUUCUACAGCUGAAACCCUUGACACUGCUAGAAGAUCUUGACAUUGUACACUGUACUUCACUCGUCCCACCAGAGGGCUUGCGAUCCCUCAUGAACCUCCGGCAUUUCGAAGUAGUCGGAUCCCUGACAGGGUUUGGAGAGAGUUAUGAUGGGAUCAUUUUCCCUAGACUGGAAAGUCUUACUAUCGAUAUUUUGUCUCGCCUUACCACGCCAUUCUGCAAGGGCCUCACCAGCCUCCAACGACUAGAGCUAUAUGAUUUGAAAGAAGCAAGAUUAACAGAUGAGCAAGAGAAGGCACUUCUGCUCCAUAGGUCCCUGCAGGAUCUCCAUUUUCUCAACUGUGAUGACCUUGUACAUCUUCCGGUGAGGCUGCACAGCCUUCCUUCCCUCAAGAGGAUAAAGAUCGGAUGGUGUCCACGCAUCUCAGAGCUACCCAAGGAGGGCCUCCCACCUUCGCUGGAGAAACUUGUUAUAGUAUAUUGUGAUGAUCUGGAAGAUCUUCCUGCGGGGCUGCACAGCCUUCCUUCCCUCAAGAAACUGAAGAUCGACUGUUGUAAGGGACUCUCACGGCUGCCCAAGGAGGGCCUCCCACCCUCGCUGGAACAGCUGGUGAUCGAAGACUGC